This 1473-nucleotide ribosomal RNA is filed under the name uncultured Bordetella sp. Its description in RNAcentral is "partial 16S-23S ribosomal RNA intergenic spacer". It matches the Rfam family "Bacterial small subunit ribosomal RNA". The record is from RNAcentral. Lineage: Bacteria; Pseudomonadati; Pseudomonadota; Betaproteobacteria; Burkholderiales; Alcaligenaceae.
GGUUCGAUUCUGGCUCAGAUUGAACGCUGGCGGGAUGCUUACAUGCAAGUCGAACGGCAGCACGGACUUCGGUCUGGUGGCGAGUGGCGAACGGGUGAGUAAUGUAUCGGAACGUGCCUAGUAGCGGGGGGAUAACUACGCGAAGCACACCGUAUACGCCCUCAAAAGCGGGGACCUUCGGGCCUCUCGCACUAUUAGAGCGGCCGAUAUCGGAUUAGCUAGUUGGUGGGGUAACGGCCUCGACCAAGGCGACGAUCCGUAGCUGGUUUGAGAGGACGACCAGCCACACUGGGACUGGAGACACGGCCUAGACUCCUACGGGAGGCAGCAGUGGGGAAUUUUGGACAAUGGGGGAAACCCUGAUCCAGCCAUCCCGCGUGCGAUGAAGGCCUUUAGUCAUGUAAAGCACUUUUGGCAGGAAAGAAACGGCACGAUAAUAAUUCCGUGCAACCGACGGUACCUGCAGAAUAAGCACCGGCUAACUACGUGCCAGCAGCCGCAGCAACAUAGGGUGCAAGCGUUAAUCGGAAUUACUGGGCGUAAAGCGUGCGCAGGCGGUUCGGAAAGAAAGAUGUGAAACCUGAGCUUAACUUUUGAACUGCAUUUUUAACUACCGAGCCAGAGUGUGUCAGAGGGAGGUGGAAUUCCGCGUGUAGCAGUGAAUUAUGUAGAUAUGCGGAGGAACACCGAUGGCGAAGGCAGCCUCCCUGGGAUAACACUGACGCUCAUGCACGAAAGUGCGGGGAGCAAACAGGGAUUAGAUACCCCGGUAGUCCCACGCCCCAAACGAUGUCAAUCUAGCUGUUGGGGAUUUCGGGCCUUGUAGCGCAGCUAACGCGUGAAGUUGGGACUGCACUGGGGGAGAGUACGGUCGCAAGAUUAAAACUCAAAGGAAUUGACGGACCCGUACGCGGCAUUGCGGAUUAAUUCGAUGCAACGCGAAAAACCUUACCUACUCCUUGACAUGUCUGGAAUCAGCGAUUUGGGGAUGCUCGCAAAGAGAAACCGGAACACAGGUGCUGCAUGGCUGUCGUCAGCUCGUGUCGUGAGAUGUUGGGUUAAGUCCUGCAACGAGCGCAACCCUUGUCAUUAGUUGCCAUGAAAGGGCACUUCUAAUGAGACUGCCGGUGACAAACCGGAGGAAGGUGGGAUGACGUCAAGUCCUCAUGGCCCUUAUAGUGGGUAGGGCUUCUCACACGUCAUACAACGGUCGGGACAGUGGUCGCCAACCCGCGAGGGGGAGCCAAUCCCAGAAACCCGAUCGUAGUCCGAUCGCAGUUCGCAACUCGACUGCGUGAAGUCGGAAUCACUAGUAAUCGCGGAUCAGCAUGUCGCGGUGAAUACGUUCCCGGGUCUUGUACACACCGCCCGUCACACCAUGGGAGUGGGUUUACCAGAAGUAGUUAGCCUAACCGUAAGGAGGGCGAUUACCACGGUAGGAUUCAUGACUGGGGUGAAGUCGUAACAAGGUAG